This 432-nucleotide ribosomal RNA is filed under the name uncultured bacterium. RNAcentral's name for it is "bacterial SSU rRNA". It matches the Rfam family "Bacterial small subunit ribosomal RNA", at positions 29 to 507 of the family's 1533-position model. The record is from RNAcentral.
AACGAACGCUGGCGGCAGGCCUAACACAUGCAAGUCGAACGCCCCGCAAGGGGAGUGGCAGACGGGUGAGUAACGCGUGGGAACCUACCUAGAGGUGCGGAAUAGCCCAGGGAAACUUGGAGUAAUACCGCAUAAGCCCGCAAGGGGAAAGAUUUAUCGCCUUUAGAUGGGCCCGCGUCUGAUUAGCUAGUUGGUGAGGUAAUGGCUCACCAAGGCGACGAUCAGUAGCUGGGUUUGAGAGAAUGACCAGCCACACUGGGACUGAGACACGGCCCAGACUCCUACGGGAGGCAGCAGUGGGGAAUCUUGGACAAUGGGGGCAACCCUGAUCCAGCCAUGCCGCGUGAGUGACGAAGGCCUUAGGGUUGUAAAGCUCUUUUGGCGGGGACGAUAAUGACGGUACCCGCAGAAUAAGUCCCGGCUAACUUCGUG